Punica granatum (pomegranate) is the source of this 604-nucleotide non-coding RNA. Lineage: Eukaryota; Viridiplantae; Streptophyta; Magnoliopsida; Myrtales; Lythraceae. The record is from RefSeq and is a predicted model, not a curated record.
UACCGGUGCCCCUCUCGAACGUCCGGAUUAGCUAAUCUCCAUCCGGAAAUGACGUGAAAACUCGAAACUGCCAACUUUCUUGAAAAAUUACAAUCUCAUGCCAUCCAGCUUUAUCUUCUUCCCGCAGACGAAAUCGAAGACAUAGACAGAGACAGACACGACGAACCCGUGACCCUCGAGCCCUCAAUCGCGACCUCGAGCCCGCGACCUCGAGCCCUCGACCCGGUAGAGACACAGACGAAGACGAACCCACGACCCUCGAGCGUCGUGAGAUUCUACUUCUCCUCCUCUCUGGGCCGGUAUCGGCAGGCUCGUUGCUUAUCGAUAGGCCCUAAAGAGGCAUCAACACUAAGUUUGGAUGGAGGUUCCGGCAAUGGCAAUCGCGGUUUAUAGUCCGCACUAAAGCUUCCCCUUCGCCAGUUUACAUGCCUCGGAAUCCGCAGCACACACUCUCAAUUGUGUUUAUGCUAAUAGAUAUGUUGCUUGCACAGGCUGGUUAGCUUCUUAUUAUUGCGUUUUGUGUGUCUUUUAUGUGUUAUGUUAUUGUGUCUAUGUGUAUCUUCCUCACUAACCAUGAAUGAAAUAAACUCUUCAUAAAAAAAAA